ACGGGAGGCAGCAGCUAAGAAUAUUCCGCAAUGGGGGAAACCCUGACGGAGCGACGCCGCGUGGACGAAGAAGGCCGGAAGGUUGUAAAGUCCUUUUUGCCGCGAGGAAGAAGAUAGGGAGGUAAUGCCCUGUCGGCGACGGAUACGGCAGAAUAAGCGCCGGCUAAUUACGUGCCAGCAGCCGCGGUAACACGUAAGGCGCAAGCGUUGUUCGGAUUUAUUGGGCGUAAAGGGCGCGCAGGCGGAUCAGAAGGCGGGGUGUGAAAUCACGGGGCCCAACCCCGUGGCCGCACCCCGAACCGUUGAACUAGGGUCGCAGAAGUGCAACAGGAAUUCCAGGUGUAGGGGUGAAAUCUGUAGAUAUCUGGAAGAACACCGAUGGCGGAGGCGUGUUGCAGGCUGAUGACCGACGCUGAGGCGCGAAGGUGCGGGGAGCAAACAGGAUUAGAUACCCUGGUA
This 459-nucleotide ribosomal RNA is filed under the name uncultured Treponema sp. RNAcentral describes it as "partial 16S ribosomal RNA". It matches the Rfam family "Bacterial small subunit ribosomal RNA", at positions 341 to 792 of the family's 1533-position model. Lineage: Bacteria; Pseudomonadati; Spirochaetota; Spirochaetia; Treponematales; Treponemataceae. The record is from RNAcentral.